Molecule: ribosomal RNA, 251 nt
Filed under: uncultured prokaryote
Description: partial 16S ribosomal RNA
Rfam family: Bacterial small subunit ribosomal RNA
Source: RNAcentral
ACGUAGGCAGCGAGCGUUGUUCGGAGUUACUGGGCGUAAAGAGUAUGUAGGCGGUUCUCCAAGUCUGGUGUGAAAUCUUCCGGCUCAACCGGGAGGGUGCCUUGGAAACUUGGGGGCUUGAGUGCGGGAGAGGGAAACGGAAUUCCUGGUGUAGCGGUGAAAUGCGUAGAUAUCAGGAAGAACACCCGCGGUGUAGGCGGCUUCCUGGUCCGUAACUGACGCUGAGGUACGAAAGCGUGGGGAGCAAACAG